GGUGGCUCAGUGGUAGAGUACUUGCCUUGCAUGCAUGAGGCCUUGGGUUCGAUUCCUCAGCACCA
Dipodomys ordii (Ord's kangaroo rat) is the source of this 65-nucleotide non-coding RNA. Lineage: Eukaryota; Metazoa; Chordata; Mammalia; Rodentia; Heteromyidae. The record is from Rfam.